GUGCUCACUUCCGCAGUACACACACUAAAACUGGACCUAUACAGAGAAGAUUAGCAUGGCCCUAAGGAUGCUAUGCAAAUCUGUAACUCCAAUAUAAU
Small nuclear RNA from Cavia porcellus (domestic guinea pig), 98 nucleotides. The record is from Ensembl. Lineage: Eukaryota; Metazoa; Chordata; Mammalia; Rodentia; Caviidae.